UUUCUCAUUUUGGCAGCACAUAUACUAAUAUUGGAAUGAUACAGAGAAGAUUAACAUGGCUCCCGCACAUAUGAAAAGGGUUUAACCAGCCUGAGAAUUUUACUAUUUAU
Molecule: small nuclear RNA, 110 nt
Organism: Varanus komodoensis (Komodo dragon)
Lineage: Eukaryota; Metazoa; Chordata; Lepidosauria; Squamata; Varanidae
Source: Ensembl